RNAcentral lists this RNase P RNA (372 nucleotides) under Weissella hellenica. RNAcentral's name for it is "RNase P RNA component class B". It matches the Rfam family "Bacterial RNase P class B". Rfam says of the family: Ribonuclease P (RNase P) is a ubiquitous endoribonuclease, found in archaea, bacteria and eukarya as well as chloroplasts and mitochondria. Its best characterised activity is the generation of mature 5'-ends of tRNAs by cleaving the 5'-leader elements of precursor-tRNAs. Lineage: Bacteria; Bacillati; Bacillota; Bacilli; Lactobacillales; Lactobacillaceae. The record is from RNAcentral.
AUUGGUGGGUAAUUGCGUGUAACUUUUGUUACAUGAGGAAAGUCCAUGCUCGCACUAACUGUGAUGUUAGUAGUGUUCGUGCUAGCUGAAAAAAUAAGGCUAGGCAAUUCUUGUAAUUGACGGCCAGUGAACAUGUCUAAGGGCAUUGCCUAUGAUGUUAGUAGUUGUUAAGGUGCCACAGUGACGAGCCAUCAAAGAAAUGCGAUGGGUGGAACGCGGUAAACCCCACGAGCGGGCAACCCAAACUUUGGUAGGGGCGUUUGAUCUAGCGAAUCGAAGCGAUGAUCGAGGAAACAGAAAUGUUUGAGAUAGAUGAUUACCGCCAAAUAAAUUUUGCCAAUUUUUAUUUGGAACAAAACAUGGCUUACAGCC